Molecule: long non-coding RNA, 2031 nt
Organism: Eriocheir sinensis (Chinese mitten crab)
Lineage: Eukaryota; Metazoa; Arthropoda; Malacostraca; Decapoda; Varunidae
Exons: 3
Source: RefSeq, a predicted model, not a curated record
AUAUUUAAAGGUGGCGGAUUUAACCUAAAGAUUUCUUUAUCGGGGAUCAGGCCCCGAUCAUAGAAAUCUCGGCUUUCUAUUCAUUUCACUCUUCCGUCCAGUCUACGUAGUGAUUUUAGCUGCUUUGCUGUCUUGUUUUUCACUUGUAUGCCUUUACCAUACGUAGGCUUCAGCACACCGGCAUCUGUUCAUUCCAUAUUUCUUCUUAGGUCAUGACGACGACUCGCUCUCAGAGCAGUGUUUGGCUGGUAGGCCAACUGGCUACAGCAGUUACUGGUUCGAAGCUGCCCAGUCGUGGGGAUGUCCUUCGUCGAUUCUUCAACCUGCACAAGGAACAAAAGAAGACGACAGGGGCAAGCGCCGCUGCGGUGGCGAAGGAAGUGCAGGAGUUCUGUGUCUGGGUCCGGAUCCCAACCAUCGCUGAGACAAGCAUCAGCAGGAAAGUCCUCGCUCUCUUCAAUGAAUGGAAGCUCCUCGGAAAGAGCAAGGGGAAUCCAGGAUCUGCACCACACAAGAAACAAAAGGCAUUCGAAGAAAGGCUCCCUGACCUUUUCGACUGCACCCACGCAGAAGCCCUCACCCUGAUGACGAUUGACGAGGACAAAAAGUUCCUCCUUGCGCAGAGGGAGAAAGGGAGACGCGGCUCCAUGGUGGGACUGGACAAGAAGCUAAAGAAAGCUGUCCGUCGGCGUGAGAGGGCAGCUGCCCGUGAACGUUCGCCACCUCUGGAAGUGGGUGCUACAGUGGAGUCUUCCUUGUCCGAGUCCUCAAGUCCUUCCCGUCGGAAUCCCAGCUCGAUUUCAUCUUCUGACGGUGGGGGCGCUUCUCCACCAAAGCGCACGAGAACGAGGGGGACCAAGACCAAAGCCAUCUUUAUAUAAAAGCCUUAGCCUGGCCGCGAAAACCAUCGAUGACGUCACGCGUUGGGUCCGUUGGCUGGCGGUGGCCGGCGCGGGAGGGGGGGGGACAAGGAGCGUCAGUUGCAUUUCAAACAUUGUGGUGGUCGGAUGUACUCGCUCCAACACAGUGACACUCCAUGUACAAGGUAGACUGAAUCUACUGCAAGGCAUCAUGGACCGGUUUCAUACAUAUGCAUCUCUGGUUGGCUGGCAUAAGCAUGAUCCUGUGAGCUAGUGUUACUCCUGGCAACUACUUUUGACUAGUUCUUCCUGUGAAACAGCUGUCUUUCAAAGAUGCCGAGGUCAUGCUGUGUGCCAGGAUGCAAGUCCAACUAUAAAUCUGCAGAUGCCUCUGCGUUCAGUUUCCCUAAAGAUGAACAGCGACGGCAGCAGUGGAUGAGGGCUAUCCACAGGAAAGACUUUACUCCAACAGAAAAUACAAUUGUUUGUUCCAAGCACUUCCAAAACGUUUCAUCAUUACAGAAGACAGUAUGACACGCGCUGAUGGAACUGUAGUAACAGCAAAGAGAGGCAGGCCAUCUCUACAUAAAGAUGCUUGUCCAACCAUCUUUGAAAACCAGCCCAAGUAUAUGUCCAAGGAAAUACCAGCUCCUCGCACCACUCCACAGGAAAGGAGAGACAAGCUAAUUGAACGUGAUGAAAUGGUGUUCAGUGAUUGGAUUGAGAAAGACCAAAUAAACAGCUUUAAAGAAUUUUGUGAAGGAUUUACUGAAAAGCUCUCUAAAGGUUGGCUGCAUCUUUCCAGUGAUGACUAUGUGUCUUUCCUUAGAAUUAACUGCGAUGGCCAACCAAAGCUAACAGUGUCCUUUAAAGUUAUGUCAGAUUUAACAGUUUCAGUGUGGCUUGAAAAUAAUACCUUAAAACCAAGAAAGUUGAAGUGGCUUUUAGGAGAAGCAAAUGCAUGUGAUUUGUGGUCAAAAUUUGAGAAUUUACUUAGUCACCUUAAUCUUGAAUCUGCAUCAACUUUAACUGUCACUGAUAAACUUACUCAGUGUAAAGAAACUAUUGAAGAGAUUUUGGAAACUGACAAUGAUGAAAUGAGCUCCAAAAAGAAAGUGAUGUGGUUCUGUGCUGAACAACUAGGUUUGAUCUGCAAAGAUAGUAUGAAAUA